Ceratotherium simum simum (southern white rhinoceros) is the source of this 88-nucleotide non-coding RNA. NCBI's taxonomy places the organism in Eukaryota, Metazoa, Chordata, Mammalia, Perissodactyla, Rhinocerotidae. The record is from RefSeq and is a predicted model, not a curated record.
GGGAAAUUUUUGUGGAUGACAGAUAUGUUCAUCUUGAUGGUGGGGGUGGUUUCACAGGUGUAUACACAUGUCAAAAGUCAUCAAACUG